AGUAUGAAUCACCAUAACAUGAGUUAAAACUUUACCUGACCAUCGUGAUUCACGUCGUGAGAUAUUUUCUGAUUUUUCCGAAAUCUUGAAUUCUUUGAUCUUUGUCAAUUCGCUUCGAUUUUUCAAGACUCCGACUCACUUCACGAAACUUGCCAAUACAAAAUCCUUAACAAUCUCCCCCUUUGGCAAUUUCGUGACAAAACUCACACAAACUCAAAAAAAUACAAUUUAAAGAAAAACGAAGUUCAAUUGUCAUCACCAAAACAUUGAACUCCUCGCGUGUAAUCCAAAUACAAUAUGAAACUCAGAAUUACAUCAAAACUUCUAAAACAGACUCUAUGACUUAGACGCAAUUAAGA
Molecule: long non-coding RNA, 359 nt
Filed under: Ananas comosus (pineapple)
Lineage: Eukaryota; Viridiplantae; Streptophyta; Magnoliopsida; Poales; Bromeliaceae
Description: long non-coding RNA (ACOM_LNC024508)
Source: RNAcentral